Molecule: ribosomal RNA, 253 nt
Filed under: uncultured bacterium
Lineage: Bacteria
Description: partial 16S ribosomal RNA
Rfam family: Bacterial small subunit ribosomal RNA
Source: RNAcentral
UACAGAGGUAUCAAGCGUUGUUCGGAUUUAUUGGGCGUAAAGGGUGCGCAGGCUGUAUGGUAAGUUUGGUGUGAAAUCCUGGGGCUUAACCCCAGAAUUGCACUGAAUACUGCCGUGCUAGAGGACUGGAGAGGAGAUUGGAAUUCACGGUGUAGCAGUGAAAUGCGUAGAUAUCGUGAGGAAGACCAGUGGCGAAGGCGAAUCUCUGGACAGUUCCUGACGCUCAUGCACGAAGGCCAGGGGAGCAAACGGG